GGAAGCACGCCGCGUGAGUGAUGAAGGGUUUCGGCUCGUAAACUCUGUUAUUAGGGAAGAACAAAUGUGUAAGUAACUGUGCACGUCUUGACGGUACCUAAUCAGAAAGCCACGGCUAACUACGUGCCAGCAGCCGCGGUAAUACGUAGGUGGCAAGCGUUAUCCGGAAUUAUUGGGCGUAAAGCGCGCGUAGGCGGUUUCUUAAGUCUGAUGUGAAAGCCCACGGCUCAACCGUGGAGGGUCAUUGGAAACUGGGAAACUUGAGUGCAGAAGAGGAAAGUGGAAUUCCAUGUGUAGCGGUGAAAUGCGCAGAGAUAUGGAGGAACACCAGUGGCGAAGGCGACUUUCUGGUCUGUAACUGACGCUGAUGUGCGAAAGCGUGGGGAUCAAACAGGAUUAGAUACCCCGGUAGAA
RNAcentral lists this ribosomal RNA (414 nucleotides) under Staphylococcus sp. RNAcentral's name for it is "bacterial SSU rRNA". It matches the Rfam family "Bacterial small subunit ribosomal RNA", at positions 388 to 795 of the family's 1533-position model. Lineage: Bacteria; Bacillati; Bacillota; Bacilli; Caryophanales; Staphylococcaceae. The record is from RNAcentral.